Molecule: ribosomal RNA, 401 nt
Filed under: uncultured bacterium
Lineage: Bacteria
Description: bacterial SSU rRNA
Rfam family: Bacterial small subunit ribosomal RNA
Source: RNAcentral
AGCGAACGUUAGCGGCGCGCCUAACACAUGCAAGUCGCACGAGAAAGGGAGCAAUCCCCGGUACAGUGGCGCACGGGUGAGUAACACGUAGAUGACCUUCCCUGGAGUGGUGGAUAACCUGCCGAAAGGCGGGCUAAUACAGCAUGGGACCACAUGGUUUUGACCGAGUGGUGAAAGCGGGCCUCUGUUCACAAGCUCGCGCUCUGGGAUGGGUCUGCGUCCCAUCAGCUAGUUGGUGAGGUAAUGGCUCACCAAGGCAUCGACGGGUAGCUGGUCUGAGAGGAUGACCAGCCACACUGGAACUGAGACACGGUCCAGACUCCUACGGGAGGCAGCAGUGGGGAAUCUUGCGCAAUGGGCGAAAGCCUGACGCAGCGACGCCGCGUGGGUGAUGAAGGCCU